This 292-nucleotide ribosomal RNA is filed under the name uncultured bacterium. RNAcentral describes it as "partial 16S ribosomal RNA". It matches the Rfam family "Bacterial small subunit ribosomal RNA", at positions 505 to 796 of the family's 1533-position model. The record is from RNAcentral.
GUGCCAGCCGCCGCGGUAAUACGUAGGUGGCAAGCGUUGUCCGGAUUUAUUGGGUUUAAAGGGUGCGUAGGCGGUCUUUUAAGUCAGUGCUGAAAUACUCCAGCUUAACUGGAGGGGUGGCAUUGAUACUGGGAGACUUGAGUGUAGUCGAGGUAGGCGGAAUUGACGGUGUAGCGGUGAAAUGCUUAGAUAUCGUCAAGAACACCGAUAGUGAAGACAGCUUACUAGGCUACAACUGACGCUGAGGCACGAAAGUGUGGGGAUCAAACAGGAUUAGAUACCCCAGUAGUCC